Molecule: long non-coding RNA, 404 nt
Filed under: Gorilla gorilla gorilla (western lowland gorilla)
Lineage: Eukaryota; Metazoa; Chordata; Mammalia; Primates; Hominidae
Description: lncRNA (ENSGGOG00000044701.1)
Source: RNAcentral
AGUACAUGGCCUAGAAAAUCGACAUGAAGUCAACCAAGAUGGUAAACUAUAAGGAAUGGAGAAAGCCCUUGCAAUGAUGGGCUGAAUGGCCACAAUUGAAAAGUCUGAACACCUUGGAGAAUACCACUUGUGGAGGAGAGAAGCUGGCCCUUUACCUUGGCUAUUAGCACUUAUUCCUAUACCAUCAUCGAGAGAAAGAUAAGUCAAUUACUAAUUCUGUCUACUCCCUUCACCCCCAAUAAUUGACAAGAGAUCUCUUUGGAAACUCAACAUGAUACAGCUAGAUUCAGGUGAAAGACAGAGGUAGGUGUCAACCUUUUUCCUACAAAUCUAUGCAAAUACUCUAUUGCCCCAUCCCUUCUUUAAAAUGUAACUGGAAGACACAACCAACCAACCAACCAAAA